This 491-nucleotide ribosomal RNA is filed under the name uncultured bacterium. Its description in RNAcentral is "bacterial SSU rRNA". It matches the Rfam family "Bacterial small subunit ribosomal RNA", at positions 11 to 504 of the family's 1533-position model. The record is from RNAcentral.
GUUUGAUCAUGGCUCAGGAUGAACGCUAGCGGCAGGCUUAACACAUGCAAGUCGAGGGGUAUAGUUCUUCGGAGCUAGAGACCGGCGCACGGGUGCGUAACGCGUAUGCAAUCUACCUUUUACAGAGGGAUAGCCCAGAGAAAUUUGGAUUAAUACCUCAUAGUAUAGUACAAUCGCAUGAUUGAACUAUUAAAGUCACAACGGUAAAAGAUGGGCAUGCGUCCCAUUAGCUAGUUGGUAAGGUAACGGCUUACCAAGGCUACGAUGGGUAGGGGUCCUGAGAGGGAGAUCCCCCACACUGGUACUGAGACACGGACCAGACUCCUACGGGAGGCAGCAGUGAGGAAUAUUGGACAAUGGGCGCAAGCCUGAUCCAGCCAUGCCGCGUGCAGGAUGACGGCCUUCUGGGUUGUAAACUGCUUUUAUCUAGGAAGAAAACACCCAUGCGUGGGAAACUGACGGUACUAGAUGAAUAAGCACCGGCUAACUCC